UACAGAGGUCUCAAGCGUUGUUCGGAUUCAUUGGGCGUAAAGGGAGCGUAGGUGGCGGGGCAAGUCAGGUGUGAAAUCUCGGGGCUCAACCCCGAAACUGCACUUGAUACUGCCUUGCUAGAGUACUGGAGAGGAGAUUGGAAUUUACGGUGUAGCAGUGAAAUGCGUAGAUAUCGUAAGGAGGACCAGUGGCGAAGGCGAAUCUCUGGACAGUUACUGACACUGAGGCUCGAAGGCCAGGGGAGCAAACGGG
RNAcentral lists this ribosomal RNA (253 nucleotides) under uncultured bacterium. Its description in RNAcentral is "partial 16S ribosomal RNA". It matches the Rfam family "Bacterial small subunit ribosomal RNA", at positions 524 to 776 of the family's 1533-position model. The record is from RNAcentral.